UACGAAGGGGGCUAGCGUUGUUCGGAAUUACUGGGCGUAAAGCGCACGUAGGCUGAUCGUUAAGUGAGGGGUGAAAUCCCGAGGCUCAACCUCGGAACUGCCCUUCAUACUGGCGAUCUCGAGUCCGGAAGAGGUUAGUGGAAUUCCCAGUGUAGAGGUGAAAGUCGUAGAUAUUGGGAAGAACACCAGUGGCGAAGGCGGCUAACUGGUCCGGUACUGACGCUGAGGUGCGAAAGCGUGGGGAGCAAACAGG
RNAcentral lists this ribosomal RNA (253 nucleotides) under uncultured bacterium. RNAcentral's name for it is "partial 16S ribosomal RNA". It matches the Rfam family "Bacterial small subunit ribosomal RNA", at positions 524 to 776 of the family's 1533-position model. The record is from RNAcentral.